CCUUGAAAUACCACCCUUUAAUGGCUGGUGUUCUAACGUAGACCCGUGAUCCGGGUUGCGGACAGUGUCUGGUGGGUAGUUUGACUGGGGCGGUCUCCUCCCAAAGAGUAACGGAGGAGCACGAAGGUUGGCUAAUCCUGGUCGGACAUCAGGAGGUUAGUGCAAUGGCAUAAGCCAGCUUGACUGCGAGCGUGACGGCGCGAGCAGGUGCGAAAGCAGGUCAUAGUGAUCCGGUGGUUCUGAAUGGAAGGGCCAUCGCUCAACGGAUAAAAGGUACUCCGGGGAUAACAGGCUGAUACCGCCCAAGAGUUCAUAUCGACGGCGGUGUUUGGCACCUCGAUGUCGGCUCAUCACAUCCUGGGGCUGAAGUAGGUCCCAAGGGUAUGGCUGUUCGCCAUUUAAAGUGGUACGCGAGCUGGGUUUAGAACGUCGUGAGACAGUUCGGUCCCUAUCUGCCGUGGGCGCUGGAGAAUUGAGGGGGGCUGCUCCUAGUACGAGAGGACCGGAGUGGACGCAUCACUGGUGUUCGGGUUGUCAUGCCAAUGGCACUGCCCGGUAGCUAAAUGCGGAAGAGAUAAGUGCUGAAAGCAUCUAAGCACGAAACUUGCCCCGAGAUGAGUUCUCCCUGAGACCUUGAGUCUCCUGAAGGAACGUUGAAGACGACGACGUUGAUAGGUCGGGUGUGUAAGCGCAGCGAUGCGUUGAGCUAACCGAUACUAAUGAACCGUGAGGCUUAACCUUACAACGCCGAAGGUGUUU
This 759-nucleotide ribosomal RNA is filed under the name Enterobacter hormaechei. RNAcentral's name for it is "partial 23S ribosomal RNA". It matches the Rfam family "Bacterial large subunit ribosomal RNA", at positions 2190 to 2925 of the family's 2925-position model. Lineage: Bacteria; Pseudomonadati; Pseudomonadota; Gammaproteobacteria; Enterobacterales; Enterobacteriaceae. The record is from RNAcentral. RNAcentral also lists the same sequence under 2 other names.